UACGUAGGUGGCAAGCGUUGUCCGGAUUUAUUGGGUUUAAAGGGUGCGUAGGCGGUUUUGUAAGUCAGUGGUGAAAUCCGGCAGCUUAACUGUCGAUGUGCCAUUGAUACUGCAGAACUUGAGUACAGACGAGGUAGGCGGAAUUGACGGUGUAGCGGUGAAAUGCUUAGAUAUCGUCAAGAACACCGAUAGCGAAGGCAGCUUACUAGACUGUAACUGACGCUGAUGCACGAAAGUGUGGGGAUCAAAC
RNAcentral lists this ribosomal RNA (250 nucleotides) under uncultured bacterium. RNAcentral's name for it is "partial 16S ribosomal RNA". It matches the Rfam family "Bacterial small subunit ribosomal RNA", at positions 524 to 773 of the family's 1533-position model. The record is from RNAcentral.